UGGGAUGUGGCUCAGUGGUACAGUACUUGCCUAGCAUGCAUGAGGUCCUGGGUUCAAUUCCCAGUAUCACAA
Molecule: non-coding RNA, 72 nt
Organism: Sciurus carolinensis (gray squirrel)
Lineage: Eukaryota; Metazoa; Chordata; Mammalia; Rodentia; Sciuridae
Source: the annotation of a RefSeq genome assembly